CUGACGAGUGGCGGACGGGUGAGUAAUGUCUGGGAAACUGCCCGAUGGAGGGGGGUAACUACUGGAAACGGUAGCUAAUACCGCAUAACGUCGCAAGACCAAAGAGGGGGACCUUAGGGCCUCUUGCCAUCGGAUGUGCCCAGAUGGGAUUAGCUAGUAGGUGGGGUAAUGGCUCACCUAGGCGACGAUCCCUAGCUGGUCUGAGAGGAUAACCAGCCACACUGGAACUGAGACACGGUCCCG
Molecule: ribosomal RNA, 243 nt
Filed under: uncultured bacterium
Lineage: Bacteria
Description: partial 16S ribosomal RNA
Rfam family: Bacterial small subunit ribosomal RNA
Source: RNAcentral